GAUGAACGCUGGCGGCGUGCCUAAUACAUGCAAGUCGAGCGAACAGACGAGGAGCUUGCUCCUCUGACGUUAGCGGCGGACGGGUGAGUAACACGCGGAUAACCUACCUAUAAGACUGGGAUAACUUCGGGAAACCGGAGCUAAUACCGGAUAAUAUAUUGAACCGCAUGGCUCAAUAGUGAAAGACGGUUUUGCUGUCACUUAUAGAUGGAUCCGCGCCGCAUUAGCUAGUUGGUAAGGUAACGGCUUACCAAGGCAACGAUGCGUAGCCGACCUGAGAGGGUGAUCGGCCACACUGGAACUGAGACACGGUCCAGACUCCUACGGGAGGCAGCAGUAGGGAAUCUUCCGCAAUGGGCGAAAGCCUGACGGAGCAACGCCGCGUGAGUGAUGAAGGUCUUCGGAUCGUAAAACUCUGUUAUUAGGGAAGAACAAAUGUGUAAGUAACUAUGCACGUCUUGACGGUACCUAAUCAGAAAGCCACGGCUAACUACGUG
This 497-nucleotide ribosomal RNA is filed under the name uncultured bacterium. RNAcentral's name for it is "partial 16S ribosomal RNA". It matches the Rfam family "Bacterial small subunit ribosomal RNA", at positions 28 to 507 of the family's 1533-position model. The record is from RNAcentral.